Molecule: ribosomal RNA, 468 nt
Filed under: uncultured bacterium
Lineage: Bacteria
Description: partial 16S ribosomal RNA
Rfam family: Bacterial small subunit ribosomal RNA
Source: RNAcentral
GACGAACGCUGGCGGCGUGCUUAACACAUGCAAGUCGAACGGAAAGGCCCUGCUUUUGUGGGGUGCUCGAGUGGCGAACGGGUGAGUAACACGUGAGUAACCUGCCCUUGACUUUGGGAUAACUUCAGGAAACUGGGGCUAAUACCGGAUAGGAGCUCCUGCUGCAUGGUGGGGGUUGGAAAGUUUCGGCGGUUGGGGAUGGACUCGCGGCUUAUCAGCUUGUUGGUGGGGUAGUGGCUUACCAAGGCUUUGACGGGUAGCCGGCCUGAGAGGGUGACCGGCGUCAUGGGGACUGAGGUACGGCCCAGACUCCUACGGGAGGCAGCAGUGGGGAAUAUUGCCCAAUGGGCGGAAGCCUGAUGAAGCAACGCCGCGUGCGGGAUGACGGCCUUCGGGUUGUAAACCGCUUUCGCCUGUGACGAAGCGUGAGUGACGGUAAUGGGUAAAGAAGCACCGGCUAACUACGUG